CCUACGGGAGGCAGCAGUGAGGAAUAUUGGUCAAUGGGCGAGAGCCUGAACCAGCCAAGUCGCGUGAAGGAUGACGGCCCUACGGGUUGUAAACUUCUUUUGUCAGGGAGCAAUUGAGUCCACGUGUGGUCUUAGCGAGAGUACCUGAAGAAAAAGCAUCGGCUAAAUCCGUGCCAGCAGCCGCGGUAAUACGGAGGAUGCGAGCGUUAUCCGGAUUUAUUGGGUUUAAAGGGUGCGUAGGCGGAAUAUCAAGUCAGCGGGAAACAUUCGGGGCUCAACCCCGUCGUGCCGUUGAAACUGAUGUUGUUGAGGGGGCGAGAGGUAUGCGGAAUGCGUGGGGUAGCGGUGAAAUGCAUAGAUAUCACGCAGAACUCCGAUGGCGAAGGCAGAAUACCGGCGCCCAACUGACGCUGAAGCACGAAAGCGUGGGUAUCGAACAGGAUUAGAUACCCUAGGAGGC
This 460-nucleotide ribosomal RNA is filed under the name uncultured bacterium. Its description in RNAcentral is "partial 16S ribosomal RNA". It matches the Rfam family "Bacterial small subunit ribosomal RNA", at positions 338 to 795 of the family's 1533-position model. The record is from RNAcentral.